This 434-nucleotide ribosomal RNA is filed under the name uncultured bacterium. RNAcentral describes it as "bacterial SSU rRNA". It matches the Rfam family "Bacterial small subunit ribosomal RNA", at positions 355 to 786 of the family's 1533-position model. The record is from RNAcentral.
UGAGGAAUAUUGGUCAAUGGGCGCGAGCCUGAACCAGCCAAGUCGCGUGAGGGAUGACGGCCCUACGGGUUGUAAACCUCUUUUGUCGGGGAGCAAAUUCCGUUACGUGUAACGGAGUCGAGAGUACCCGAAGAAAAAGCAUCGGCUAACUCCGUGCCAGCAGCCGCGGUAAUACGGAGGAUGCGAGCGUUAUCCGGAUUUAUUGGGUUUAAAGGGUGCGUAGGCGGGCUGUCAAGUCAGCGGUAAAAUACGGGGGCUCAACCUCCGCCCGCCGUUGAAACUGACGGUCUUGAGUGGGCGAGAAGUAUGCGGAAUGCGUGGUGUAGCGGUGAAAUACAUAGAUAUCACGCAGAACUCCGAUUGCGAAGGCAGCAUACCGGCGCCCAACUGACGCUGAAGCACGAAAGCGUGGGUAUCGAACAGGAUUAGAUACC